GGUUCUAUUGGGGAAAUCCCUAACUGGAAUAGUGAAGUUUUACCCGUAUGGGCCCAAUGCAGACUUUUCGUAAUCAAAUAGUGUGUGUGUGUGUGUGUCUGAUUUUUUAAUGUGCACACUAAAAAAAUAUAUCUAUAUCUAGUAAUAUUUAAUCACACAUAGAAUCUAAAGUUAAAGGAGAACAUAUUUGUUUUUUUGUUGUUUUUUUUUUAGAUUUAGAUUUUUAAAAAAAGUUUUAUACAUUUUAACAUUUUUUUCGACCAAUGAAAAAGAAGCAUUUAUUUCUUUUAAGCUCGCGAUAUUCGGCACAAACUGGAUUAUUCAGUCUUCACUCUAGAGCGUACACACGUGGAUCAAAUUAGAGCUACCUAGAUCUAGAUCUAAAUCUAGUUGAAGAUAUCUACUUGGUAGUCUAAACCUCAAAGGAGCUUAGGGAAGUGAUGGCAGUUGCAGGGUAUGAACCAGACGACCAUGCAGAGACCAACGAGGCGACCAAACAGUCCAUCGUGCAUACCACAUAACCAGGUCCAGAAUGCCAGUUUUCUUUAAGGGCAGCUGACAAUAAGAAUUGUCUAUGUAUGCACUACAGAUGCUGUUCAAUAUCUUUUCAUGAGGAAGCCUGCUCAAAAAGAUCGCCACAUUUACUUUAGGGGAAGUUGACAUUAAUCUUUUAGGUUAAUAAUAACCUAUGCAUGCAGUACAGAUGCUGUUCAUCAUCUUUUCAUAAGCAAGCCUGCUCAAGAAGCUGCUGCAUGGAAGUCAAAAUAUGAAUUAUUGCCACCAGUCUUGAAGUCAGCUUGUAAAGAAUGCUAAGAAUUGAAUGAAAAUGCUGUCUUGAUAUCUUGUUUGUGCUGUUAUAUUUGUCUUUUGUGUUGGUUAAUUAUUCCAUGAAUAAAAAAUAAAAAAAAGUUAA
Biomphalaria glabrata is the source of this 913-nucleotide long non-coding RNA. RefSeq lists it as uncharacterized. The transcript is spliced from 5 exons. The record is from RefSeq and is a predicted model, not a curated record. NCBI's taxonomy places the organism in Eukaryota, Metazoa, Mollusca, Gastropoda, Planorbidae.